UACGUAGGGUGCAAGCGUUGUCCGGAAUUAUUGGGCGUAAAGAGCUCGUAGGCGGUCUGUCGCGUCUGCUGUGAAAACUCAGGGCUUAACCCUGAGCUUGCAGUGGGUACGGGCAGACUAGAGUGCGGUAGGGGAGACUGGAAUUCCUGGUGUAGCGGUGAAAUGCGCAGAUAUCAGGAGGGAACACCGGUGGCGAAGGCGGGUCUCUGGGCAAUAACUGACGCUGGAGGAGCGAAAAGCGUGGGGAGCGAACAGG
This 256-nucleotide ribosomal RNA is filed under the name uncultured bacterium. Its description in RNAcentral is "partial 16S ribosomal RNA". It matches the Rfam family "Bacterial small subunit ribosomal RNA", at positions 524 to 776 of the family's 1533-position model. The record is from RNAcentral.